RNAcentral lists this unclassified non-coding RNA (210 nucleotides) under Glomus sp. Its description in RNAcentral is "partial contains 5.8S ribosomal RNA and internal transcribed spacer 2". The stretch from base 1 to 71 matches the Rfam family "5.8S ribosomal RNA", at positions 84 to 154 of the family's 154-position model. The record is from RNAcentral. Lineage: Eukaryota; Fungi; Glomeromycota; Glomeromycetes; Glomerales; Glomeraceae.
GUGAAUCAUCAAAUCUUUGAACGCAAAUUGCACUCUCUGGUAUUCCGGAGCGUAUUCCUGUUUGAGGCUCAGAUUAAAUAAAAAUCGGUGUGGUUGCUGCCUUUCGUGGUGACGCACCGGAUUUUCGUCGUCUUGCCUUCGGUUAAGUGACCUAAACUUUUGCAUGAUUUUUUCGACGGUUUUUAAAUGAUUUUACGUUCGUUUGCUAUA